This 30-nucleotide non-coding RNA is filed under the name Homo sapiens (human). Lineage: Eukaryota; Metazoa; Chordata; Mammalia; Primates; Hominidae. The record is from RNAcentral.
UCUUGGAGACAGGAACCUCAGCUUUCAGGA